UGGGGAAUAUUGCACAAUGGGCGCAAGCCUGAUGCAGCAACGCCGCGUGAGGGACGACGGCCUUCGGGUUGUAAACCUCUUUUGGCAGGGAAGAAGCGAAAGUGACGGUACCUGCAGAAAAAGCACCGGCUAACUACGUGCCAGCAGCCGCGGUGAUACGUAGGGUGCAAGCGUUGUCCGGAAUUAUUGGGCGUAAAGAGCUCGUAGGCGGUUUGUCGCGUCUGCUGUGAAAACCCGAGGCUCAACCUCGGGCCUGCAGUGGGUACGGGCAAACUAGAGUGCGGUAGAGGAGAUUGGAAUUCCUGGCGUAGCGGUGGAAUGCGCAGAUAUCAGGAGGAACACCGAUGGCGAAGGCAGAUCUCUGGGCCGUAACUGACGCUGAGGAGCGAAAGCAUGGGGAGCGAACA
This 407-nucleotide ribosomal RNA is filed under the name uncultured bacterium. RNAcentral's name for it is "bacterial SSU rRNA". It matches the Rfam family "Bacterial small subunit ribosomal RNA", at positions 355 to 774 of the family's 1533-position model. The record is from RNAcentral.